AGGGCCUCAGGACAGGAGACUGGGGUCCCCCAGGCUCCCACUUGGGUGCUGAAGUUGGGGGUGACACCAGCUCAGGGGGUCCCAUGAAACACCUAGUCAUGCAGGGCUGAAACUCAAAAGAGAGGACUGAGCCAGAGAGACCCAUCUGGAUUUUCAGCAAAGAGCUGACCAGUGAACCCUCAGGAAACGCUGGAGUGCAAAUGGCACCACCAAGAAUCAGUCCCAGGAAAGAGGCACAAAGGCCGGGAAGAGGACUGGGCAAUGAAGAGUCGCCCUUAGAGAACAGGAAAACCAAGAACGGGAGGUCAGAGAAAGAAAACUCUGCCAGAAGAGGGAGCAUCAGCAGGGAGGUCCAGGCCCUGCAAACAUGAGGGUGCCCAGAGCUGCCUUCAGGGUAGGUGGGGACAGGAGCCAGCCAUGGUGGCAGGAAGAUCAGAUGGGAUGUGAAGACACAAUCCAGGACAGGGAGGACAGACAAGUCUUCCCAGAAGCUUGCCUGGGAAGGAAAAGAAAGAUCUGGAGCCAGAGUUGAGGGACAGGUGUCAAUGCUGAGGAGAAGAAGCCAGGAAAGAAAGAAGAAUAAAGGUGAAGUCGGGCUGCUUGAGAUGUUUGGUGAAAUGAGGCAACGUGCCUGUGAUUUUGUUUUCCACCCCAGUUGCCGGGGCAUGCUCUGAGGCUUGCAAUUUCCGUGGGCACAGCCAGUACAGAGCAGACAGCUGUGCUCAGGAACUGCAUCUCCCAAGGGUCUUUAUUUGGGGAAUAUGACAAGAAGGAAAAAAUGGAAAACACACCCUCAGGUGUCACAAGGGAGAGGAUGAUCCAGCAGCAGUUUUCCCCCUCUUUUCCCAUUAAAGUCCUACCUGACAGCCUACCCCAUGGAGAAGCUUCAUAGGAAUUAAGAUAUUCCAGAUAUUCUCAGGAAAAUGAAAUAUUGAAGAAUGGCUUCCUGAGCUGAUAAUGGUGGUACAUUUGAAAAAUAGACCAGAGUGCCGUGUUUAAAAGCCUAAAGUCAUAAAAGGUAUUAUGAAUGGAUGGAUGGGGAACCUCUACAAGCAGACUUCAUUGAUGUCACCGUAAACGAUGAAUGCUGUCACUCUUUUUUAUAUGUAACAAGAAGAUAUGCUGCUGCAUCCAGAUCUCAUUGUAGAAGCUGUCAGACUCACUGAAAUGGCAUUGCAUAAGCUAUUUAUGAUGAUAUGAGGGAAAAUACAAGGUUAAGAGAUCUUUAUCUGCUAUCUAUGGAAAUGUGCUUCCACACGAAGGCAGUACAUGAAAUAACCUUCCGGAUAACCCACGACAUUGGGGGAGCUGUAAAGUGAGAUUAACCAGCAGAGACAGGUCUGCAUUCAAAUUAUGUUUGUCCUCACCCUGAUGCCUUGGCCUCAUGAACACACAGGUGUUUUUCUAGCUUUCUCUAUGUAAAAUCCCACUCCGAGUUUUACAGCACUCAUUGGUGUGACAGAUUCAUAAAUGAUCCAACAAAAAAUUCAUGCGCCACCUUUCAGAAGAUAGCAGGGCAGCGGAGAACAGCUGCCCAGGCACAGAUGACGUCUCCCAGCCACCCUUGCCUUUGUCAUGGCCAAACCACAGGCUACAAGUGGAGGGGAGGUGGUCAUUUCCAGGCAGGAGUUUUUCAAAAUCAGGUGUGCUUCCCCCAUGAUCUCUCCAGGUUUCCAAUGCCCUGGGGGGGUAGAGGAUUUCCAGGCUCUAGGGGAUGGUGGAGCUAUGACAAGAAAAACCCUGGGCCCUGAGUCACCCCAUGGAGAAAUGACACCACCAACCCAGGACCAAUCCACACCGCACUUUAUAUAAAUGAGAAGUUAACUUCUAUUUCACUGCCCAGCCAACUAAAAUUUGCAGUUUGUUAUAACAGCUAGUGUUAUCUUUAUUAGUUGAUAUGGUUUGGCUCUGUGUCCCCACUCAAAUUUCAUGUUGAAUUGUAAUCUCCAGUGUUGGAGGAGGGGCCUUGUGGGAGAUAAUGGAAUCAUGGGGGCCGACAUCCUCCUUGCUCUUCUUGUGAUAGAGUUCUCACAAGAUCUGGUUGUUUGAAAGUGUGUAGCACCUCCCCGCCCCCUCUCUCCUGCCAGCCAUGUGAAGAUGUGCUUGCUUUCUCUUCACUUUCUGCCAUGAUUGUAGGUUUCCUGAGGCCUCCCCAAAAACAGAAGCCUGUAUAGGCCAAAGAACCAUGAGCCA
This 2193-nucleotide long non-coding RNA is filed under the name Homo sapiens (human). Its description in RNAcentral is "HSALNT0169578". Lineage: Eukaryota; Metazoa; Chordata; Mammalia; Primates; Hominidae. The record is from RNAcentral.